Molecule: ribosomal RNA, 528 nt
Filed under: uncultured bacterium
Lineage: Bacteria
Description: bacterial SSU rRNA
Rfam family: Bacterial small subunit ribosomal RNA
Source: RNAcentral
AAUAGAUACCCAGGUAGUCCACGCCGUAAACGAUGAGUGCUAGGUGUCGGGGGGGUCCUACCCUCGGUGCCGAAGGUAACCCAUUAAGCACUCCGCCUGGGGAGUACGGCCGCAAGGCUGAAACUCAAAGGAAUUGACGGGGGCCCGCACAAGCGGUGGAGCAUGUGGUUUAAUUCGAAGCAACGCGAAGAACCUUACCAGGGCUUGACAUCCCGCUGACCGCUCCAGAGAUGGAGCUUCCCUUCGGGGCAGCGGUGACAGGUGGUGCAUGGUUGUCGUCAGCUCGUGUCGUGAGAUGUUGGGUUCAGUCCCGCAACGAGCGCAACCCUUAUCGCUAGUUGCCAGCAUUCAGUUGGGCACUCUAGCGAGACAGCCGGUGAAAGCCGGAGGAAGGUGGGGAUGACGUCAAAUCAUCAUGCCCCUUAUGUCCUGGGCUACACACGUGCUACAAUGGCCGGUACAAUGGGUCGCCAACCCGCGAGGGGAGCUAAUCCCACAAAACCGGUCUCAGUUCGGAUCGCAGGCUGC